CUAACAGAUACUACUAAUAAGAAUGGACAGGGUAUAUGUUCCCCCAUAAGUAUUUCUUUUCUUUCCUUCCCUCUUUUUUCUCAUCAUAAUUCUUAUUUUUCUUUUCCUCUUGUUUGGGUCAUCCUCUGACAAUCUCUUACAAUGUGAAUGGUAGUAAACUCUGGUCACCAUUGUGUUUUUUUUCUAUAUACAGCCAUGUCCAAUUGGCCACUGCUGCAAUCCCCAGCCAACAUCUGAUGGUUCUGUUGUCUCCAUCCUGUCCAGUUUCAACUUCCAUCAUAUAAGACCAACUCCCAGUUGACUCAGACUUUCUUACUGAAUGCUGGAGCCCAGUGUUCCCACUGCCCUACCAUUCAAUUAUGCUGUAGGGGGUAUCAGUAUCUUCUUUCAGAUGGAGAAAAUUUAACUCUCUCCUGCCAACUAUUGUUCUUGAUGUUGCUGCCUCCAUCAUGAAGGACGGAUUUCUGGCAUCUCGAAGUGACAACAGAGUGGAGGGGUGAAGACCCAAAUGGUUGGAACAUGACCCUGCACUUCUAGUUUAAAGCAUAUGUAAAAAUAAAUAAAUAAAUAAAUAAAUAAAUAAAUAAAUA
Molecule: long non-coding RNA, 590 nt
Filed under: Vulpes vulpes (red fox)
Lineage: Eukaryota; Metazoa; Chordata; Mammalia; Carnivora; Canidae
Description: lncRNA (ENSVVUG00000025582.1)
Source: RNAcentral